RNAcentral lists this ribosomal RNA (503 nucleotides) under uncultured bacterium. Its description in RNAcentral is "partial 16S ribosomal RNA". It matches the Rfam family "Bacterial small subunit ribosomal RNA", at positions 29 to 523 of the family's 1533-position model. The record is from RNAcentral.
AACGAACGCUGGCGGCGUGUUUAAGACAUGCAAGUCGCACGGGACUAUUUGAGUAGCAAUACAAGGAUAGUUUCGUGGCGCACGGGUGAGUAACACGUGAAUUACAUGCCCUGCAGAGGGGGAUAGCCCAGGGAAACUUGGAUUAAUACCCCAUGGUAUCGCGAGAUUAAAGGUGGCCACAAGGCUGUCGCUGCAGGAUUGGUUCGCGCCCUAUCAGCUUGUUGGUGAGGUAACGGCACACCAAGGCUACGACGGGUACCGGGUCUGAGAGGACCAUCAGGUACACGGGAACGGAGACACGGUCCAGACACCUACGGGUGGCAGCAGUCGAGAAUAAUUCACAAGGGGGGCAACCCUGAUGGUGCAACGCCGCGUGGAGGAUGAAGGUCUUCGGAUUGUAAGCUCCUGUCAUCCGGGAGUAAGACCUGGCGAUGAAUAGUCGACAGGGUUGAUAGUACCGGAAGAGGAAGGGACGGCUAACUUCGUGCCAGCAGCCGCAGUAA